This 698-nucleotide ribosomal RNA is filed under the name Cyberlindnera sp. EY12113. RNAcentral describes it as "eukaryotic LSU rRNA". The stretch from base 317 to 470 matches the Rfam family "5.8S ribosomal RNA". The record is from RNAcentral. Lineage: Eukaryota; Fungi; Ascomycota; Saccharomycetes; Phaffomycetales; Wickerhamomycetaceae.
CCAAAGUAAAAUAGUAAAAAAACCUCACCCACCGUGUGUAAGGUUUGGGCUGCCCGCCCCGUGGAAGCCGCGGGCCCAACCCAAAAAAAACCCUAAAAAAUCCCCUUUUCCGGGGGGGGGGGCUGCGGAAGGAUCAUUAAAGUAUUCUUCGGUGCAGCCAGCGCUUCCACAGCGCGGCAGCCCAAACCUUACACACUGUGAUUAGUUUUUUUACUAUUUACUUUGGCUGCGCAAGUGGCCAAAGGUCUUAAACACAAAGAUUUAUAUCUUUUUUUACAAAAUUUAGUCAAUGAAGUUUUAAUACUAUAAUCUUCAAAACUUUCAACAACGGAUCUCUUGGUUCUCGCAACGAUGAAGAACGCAGCGAAAUGCGAUACGUAAUGUGAAUUGCAGGUUUUCGUGAAUCAUCGAAUCUUUGAACGCACAUUGCACCCUCUGGUAUUCCGGAGGGUAUGCCUGUUUGAGCGUCAUUUCUCUCUCAAACCUUAGGGUUUGGUAUUGAGUGAUACUCUCUUCUGGGUUAACUUGAAAUAGUGUACUGGCAAGAGUGUGCUUUUGUGGCCUCUUGACUGAGAUAAUGUAUUAGGUUCUACCAACUCGUUAUAGCAGCUCAAUUGUCCCUUUGGCAUAUCAGCUCGGCCUGACAACUCCUUCUAAAGUUUGACCUCAAAUCAGGUAGGACUACCCGCUGAACUUAA